UACAGAGGGUGCUAGCGUUGUUCGGAAUCAUUGGGCGUAAAGCGCGCGUAGGCGGCCCGGUAAGUCCGUUGUAAAAGUCAAAGGCUCAACCUUUGAAAGCCGAUGGAUACUGCGGAGCUAGAGUACGGAAGAGGCGAGUGGAAUUCCUGGUGUAGCGGUGGAAUGCGCAGAUAUCAGGAGGAACACCAAUAGCGAAGGCAGCUCGCUGGGACGUUACUGACACUGAGGCGCGAAAGCGUGGGGAGCGAACAGG
Molecule: ribosomal RNA, 253 nt
Filed under: uncultured bacterium
Lineage: Bacteria
Description: partial 16S ribosomal RNA
Rfam family: Bacterial small subunit ribosomal RNA
Source: RNAcentral